GUCCAGCUGACGAGUCCUAAAUAGGAUGAAACGCGCGUCCAGGAU
Schistosoma haematobium is the source of this 45-nucleotide non-coding RNA. The record is from Rfam. Lineage: Eukaryota; Metazoa; Platyhelminthes; Trematoda; Strigeidida; Schistosomatidae.